CCUACGGGGGGCAGCAGUGAGGAAUAUUGGUCAAUGGGCGAGAGCCUGAACCAGCCAAGUCGCGUGAGGGAGUACUGCCCUAUGGGUUGUAAACCUCUUUUGUCGGGGAGCAAAAGCCGGACGUGUCCGGCUGUGAGAGUACCCGAAGAAAAAGCAUCGGCUAACUCCGUGCCAGCAGCCGCGGUAAUACGGAGGAUGCGAGCGUUAUCCGGAUUUAUUGGGUUUAAAGGGUGCGCAGGCGGAUUUUUAAGUCAGCGGUAAAAUCGUGGGGCUCAACCCCAUCCAGCCGUUUAAACUGGGGAUCUAGAGUGUGCGAGAGGUAUGCGGAAUGCGUGGUGUAGCGGUGAAAUGCAUAGAUAUCACGCAGAACCCCGAUUGCGAAGGCAGCAUACCGGUGCACAACUGACGCUCAGGCACGAAAGCGUGGGUAUCGAACAGGAUUAGAUACCCCUGUAGUC
Molecule: ribosomal RNA, 458 nt
Filed under: uncultured bacterium
Lineage: Bacteria
Description: partial 16S ribosomal RNA
Rfam family: Bacterial small subunit ribosomal RNA
Source: RNAcentral